RNAcentral lists this long non-coding RNA (407 nucleotides) under Homo sapiens (human). RNAcentral describes it as "non-protein coding lnc-CDCA3-2:1". Lineage: Eukaryota; Metazoa; Chordata; Mammalia; Primates; Hominidae. The record is from RNAcentral.
GAGAGAUCUUCACGACCUUUAUUGCACAGACUGGGAGAGAGGAGCAGGGUUAUACCUCCCAACCCCACCAUCCUCUUCAUUUAAAGCAUCAGCCUCCUCCCCUGCCAUUUCUGUUCAGGGAGGCACAGUGUUCCCCAUCUGUCCAGGGCUGCAGGUCCGGCAGCGGGGCCCCGUCCCAGCUCCCCAGGCCUGGUGAGCUCCAGGCUAGCCUGUGCACUGUCCUCUGAGUCCAGGCCCUUGUAGGUCCCCAAGAUGGUGGGGGUGCAGGGACAGAGAGCUUGCUGUUCUGCUCCUGAUGUCACACAGGGGCUUCCUGUGUGUCCUGGCAUCAAGAUGGCCUUCCACAAGUCAAGUGGCCACAUCCUCAAGGAGCUGGCUCAGCCACUCACAGCUCCUCCCGAACCCGA